CCUCUCGGGGGUAAGCGGGCAGAACUUGCAAGUAUUGACAAGAGAUUCAGACUUGGAAUUUAGGGCUGAGCCUGCCUGUUAAGUUGUUUAUUCGUAAACUGACUGACUUGUAGGUUUUGAUCUCUAAAUAAUGCGUCGCACUUCUCUUGUCAUCCGGGUUGCAUGCAACUGAGUUGAUAGUUUAGGUGCUGAGGACCUGCAAAUCCUUGUUGGUUUGAGCCUUAGUUUCCAACUAUUCUUGCGGUUGUUGAAAGCGAACAAGCGUUCUACGCGGUCAGUUAUUGGCACGAGUCGUGUGCAGUGUUUGUAUGGACGGGUAACCGUAAUGCUUUCACUGUACUGGUUGUCAGUGACAGUAAUUGGCAUUGUUCAGUAUUGCAAUCKAAAGCAUGCGUGGUCUGCCUGU
RNAcentral lists this ribosomal RNA (406 nucleotides) under Ceratophysella sp. 3 CADH-2011. RNAcentral describes it as "partial 28S ribosomal RNA". Lineage: Eukaryota; Metazoa; Arthropoda; Collembola; Poduromorpha; Hypogastruridae. The record is from RNAcentral.